RNAcentral lists this long non-coding RNA (1679 nucleotides) under Homo sapiens (human). Its description in RNAcentral is "HSALNT0081335". Lineage: Eukaryota; Metazoa; Chordata; Mammalia; Primates; Hominidae. The record is from RNAcentral.
AUGAAUGAACUGAGAGAUAGAUCCCUUUGGAUCUUGUCUUUUUUCUUCCUCUCCUUUCUCUCCCUUUUGUCUACCCCUCUCCCUCUCUCCACUUCCCUCUCUCUCACUCCCUCUUCCUCCACCUUCUUUCUUUCUCCUGCUCCCUCCCUCCCUCUCUUUCCUCUCCAUUUUGAAAUAAGAAGGAUUCAUGGCAACCUGCACAGGAUAGAAUGAAACAGAUCUGAGUCAAGAGGAGAAUCUCUGAGGAUAAUUUCUUCAAACAGACUAAAAUUGAAGCAUGGUUAAACAUGCAGAAUCUAGGUGGAAGUCUGGGAUCUCAGAAGAUACAAAAGAAGCUUUCCCUUGCACUGCAAGAUCACAUAUGGCAAAGGCUUCAAUAAAUAUCUCUAAUGGGCCUACUCUCUUCCUUAUAACUCAUCUGACAUUUUUGUGAUACAAGGGAGAACAGUUGAAUUGUUUGAAAAACUUGCCUCAGAAAGGGUGAGACAGAAAGCUCACUGGUGAAUUGAAAAGGUUUUCAUUGUACCGUUAUGGGACUGUUUUUAAAAGACUCUAUGUUCCUUGUAAAAUUCAUUCUUGAAUCAGAUUUGAUUUUUAGCAAACAAUUUCUUACCUAAUCUCAACCUCCAGACUUUAAUAUUCUAACAAUUACAUAAGUCCAUUGCAUUAAAAAGUUCUCAAUAGUUAUUUUUUUAGUUUUGAUAAGUUUUAACAAGACAAAAAGCUGACAAGUCUUAAAUUUGGUAAAAGGAGAUUUUGAAAAGGAGACUCCAAAAAUAAUGCAUUUAAAAUCUAAUUUAUAUGGUGCCUCAGAAGAGUUUCAAACAAAUGAAUAGUCUUCUAAGAAGUUAUAAAUUCAUGUCCGGGAUAGAAAUAUCUGUGAAUCACUAAAUUAUUUCUCUCAUAUUUGCUGGUGUAAAACUAGGGAAUAGCCAAGCAGCUUACAUUAUCAACUGCUUAUGAGGAUGCUAAAAUGAUAUACUUAACUGAUAUUUCCAUCUAGAGGCACUGUAUAAUUUUGUCACCAAAAAUAACUAUAGACUCAAGAAUAUAAGGAGGAAUAUUUUAUAUAGUGGCAUACAAAGUUAUGACAUUUAUCUGUCAUUUUCCCAUAUUAUUUAUCCUCAAAAGAGUUUGUUUCUUUACAUCAUGUGGAAGGAUAAUUGGUCCCAUAAAGAAGUAAUUAUUUAUAUCAACGAGGUAAUAAUAAAAGAGAAUGGCUCAUAAUCUACUGGACGUUGCAUGGCCUGUGAUGUCUCUUUCCUUCUAGUCACUUUCGAAAGCUCAAAUACCAACACCUUUGUAACUUCCUCCUUUUCCCCCAUAUACAUAGUCAAUUCUUCUUUUGUACUCCCUCAAAUGUUAAUUUGUACAUUGAUUUUCACAUUUACAUUACUGUAUUAUAAUUACCUACUUACGUUUAUGACCUGUCUGAUCAAUUUUAAAUUAGCAUUUUCUUCUCCCUUGUGUCUCGGUACAUUGUAUGCUGACAUAGAGCAGAUUCUCAAUGGAUGUUUGUUAAAGGAUGCAUUUUAUUUCCUCAGUAAAACCAUUUUAUGUCAUUAGACAAAUUCAAGUAUACAGUUAGAUUCCAGAAACUAUAGUCUACCAUAUAAUUAAAGGUAUUUCUGCUAUUUUAUGUCAUUGAACAAAUUCAAGUGUACAAUUAGAUUUCAAAA